UACGAGGGGGGCAAGCGUUGCUCGGAAUUACUGGGCGUAAAGCGCACGUAGGCGGCUUUCUAAGUCGGGGGUGAAAUCCUGGAGCUCAACUCCAGAACUGCCUUCGAUACUGGAGAGCUUGAGUCCGGGAGAGGUGAGUGGAACUGCGAGUGUAGAGGUGAAAUUCGUAGAUAUUCGCAAAGAACACCAGUGGCGAAGGCGGCUCACUGGCCCGGUACUGACGCUCAGGCGGCGAUGAGCCGGUGGGGGAUCAAAACAGGA
RNAcentral lists this ribosomal RNA (261 nucleotides) under uncultured bacterium. Its description in RNAcentral is "partial 16S ribosomal RNA". It matches the Rfam family "Bacterial small subunit ribosomal RNA", at positions 524 to 777 of the family's 1533-position model. The record is from RNAcentral.